GCACAGCAAUGUGUUGUGCAGAAGCAAGGAAGGCCCCAGCCGCCACGGCGACACCGCAUAAAUCACCGGCGCGAGUCCUCGGCGGCUCCCGGCCUGUGCAUUGGAGCAACGGCGCCGACUCUCAUUGGGUGAUGCUUCAUUACUCGGUGGAAAAUCCCCAGAGCCAAAACGUUAUUUAAAUGUGCUAUGAAAAUAAACGUGAUUUAUACACGUGUCGUUCGCUCAGGCGUCCUCGGCUACUGCAGGUGCUGCUGGGCACCAGGAUUCGCACCUCAAUUUAUCGCCGAUUCAAGCGACACACACGUGCUCGCCGGCAGGACGUGGUCCACAGCCCCCCAGAUUCCAGAGAGGAGGCGGUGUUUGCUGAGUGAAAAUGAUCUCCGACUCCGAGUCCUCGUGCGUUUCAGUCCAGCGGGCGCCUCUGAAAUCUCCAUUUGGUCGGGAGCUGCCCCUUCUUGUCGGCCUGCUCACCAGGGUUCUGAGGUCUCAGCAACAGCUUUGGCUCUGAACCCAGAGCAAGCACCGCAAAUGCCGUGAGAAAGGCUAAUUUGGUCUGCAAACACGUUUCAGCGAAGCCCCACUCCCAGCGAAGCUGCCACUCGGAGGUGCCACUGGAUCCAGCUGCUCAGAGAGACCAUCUGGCUCCCGUGGCCUCCCUGGGUGUCCCAGGACGUCAGCCCCGGGCAAGCCAAGGAAUGAAAAGACAACAUCGCCAGAGGAUUUAGUGCUGUCCACCGAGGAGGAUUAGCGGAACGCCUUUACGAUGCUGGUGUUGACAGACAGGACUAGCGGCUGUUUUAUAGGCUAUCGACUGAGUGAUAUCAGACUUCUCCGGUGGGUUAGUGGUUGUGUUUGAGCUGCCGUGAUGUGACCUGCGGUGUAUCCAAAUCAGUGUAAUAAUAAGCUGGGUUAUGAGGCCAUUUACUUUGCCCUAUAUGCGCCAAUAUAGUAAACUUGUUAUAAAACCAAGCGAAUGAGGGCUUCUGUUUCGCCUGCUGGUGCAUGGUGAGGGUAUGAGAGCAAUCAACUUGUUCCUCUCCAACACAUAUCCAUCCAGGAGGUUCGUAAAAGCUCCUUAUGCCUCGGCGGGAAAUGAUUUUAGUCUUAAGAAGGAAACACAUGGCUUUCUUCUUACAGCUUCAGGCUCCGUCUCGCCAGCUGCAUUUAUGGCCCCUGGCCUGGCAGGAAUGAAAGGAGACCUUGAUGAGCUCUGGGAGUGGUCCCUGCAGGGGAAAGAUGCAGAGAGCCUGGGCUGUUUGGAAGGCCAUCGCUUGAGAGUGUCUCUUCCCCCUUUCCAACGCACAUCUUAGAGACACCACUGGCGGUGGGUGCAAAGGCCCUGGGGCCCCACUUCCCUGCCAGAGGGGUUUUCUAUAGGUUGAGGCCCCUGGGAAAACGGAUCUUGGGGAGGCCGACUGGGUUCCCAGGCUGGUAUUUCUCCUAGUCGCUGCUGGGUCUGGUAUACUUUAAAGCAAAUUCUUACCCUUUUUGUUUAAAUUUUUUUUGAAGGUGUUAGCAGUCUGUCUUACCUUCUCCC
This 1537-nucleotide long non-coding RNA is filed under the name Oryctolagus cuniculus (rabbit). RNAcentral describes it as "lncRNA (ENSOCUG00000033340.1)". Lineage: Eukaryota; Metazoa; Chordata; Mammalia; Lagomorpha; Leporidae. The record is from RNAcentral.